UACAGAGGUGGCAAGCGUUGUUCGGAUUUAUUGGGCGUAAAGGGUCCGUAGGCGGUUUGAAUAGUCAGAUGUGAAAGCCCACAGCUCAACUGUGGAACUGCAUUUGAAACUUUCAGACUAGAGUGUGAGGGGGGUAAAGGGAAUUCCCGGUGUAGAGGUGAAAUUCGUAGAUAUCGGGAGGAACACCAGUGGCGAAGGCGGCGACCUGGACGGACAUUGACGCUGAGACGCGAAAGCGUGGGGAGCAAACAGG
This 253-nucleotide ribosomal RNA is filed under the name uncultured bacterium. RNAcentral's name for it is "partial 16S ribosomal RNA". It matches the Rfam family "Bacterial small subunit ribosomal RNA", at positions 524 to 776 of the family's 1533-position model. The record is from RNAcentral.